GUGGCGACGGGUGAGUAAUGUAUAGGGAUCUGCCUAGUAGUGGGGGACAACAUGUGGAAACGCAUGCUAAUACCGCAUAAUCUCUACGGAGGAAAGUGGGGGACCAUUCGUGGCCUCACGCUAUUAGAUGAACCUAUAUCAGAUUAGCUAGUUGGUGAGGUAACGGCUCACCAAGGCGACGAUCUGUAGCUGGUUUGAGAGAAUGAUCAGCCACACUGGGACUGAGACACGGCCCAGACUCCUACGGGAGGCAGCAGUGGGGAAUAUUGCACAAUGGAGGCAACUCUGAUGCAGCAAUGCCGCGUGUGUGAAGAAGGCCUUAGGGUUGUAAAGCACUUUCAAUAGGGAGGAAAAGUUAGUCGUUAAUAGCGGCUAGCCGUGACGUUACCUAUAGAAGAAGGACCGGCUA
This 409-nucleotide ribosomal RNA is filed under the name uncultured Gammaproteobacteria bacterium. RNAcentral's name for it is "bacterial SSU rRNA". It matches the Rfam family "Bacterial small subunit ribosomal RNA", at positions 95 to 499 of the family's 1533-position model. Lineage: Bacteria; Pseudomonadati; Pseudomonadota; Gammaproteobacteria. The record is from RNAcentral.